RNAcentral lists this long non-coding RNA (1993 nucleotides) under Homo sapiens (human). Its description in RNAcentral is "HSALNT0318394". Lineage: Eukaryota; Metazoa; Chordata; Mammalia; Primates; Hominidae. The record is from RNAcentral.
CGUCUCUACUAAAAAUACAAAAAUUAGCCAGGUGUGGUGGCGAGCACCUGUAAUCCCAGCUACUUGGGAGGUUGAGGCAGAAGAAUUGCUUGAACCCAGGAGGUGGAGGUUGCAGUGAGCUGAGAUCAUGCCAUUGCACUCCAGCCUGGGUGACAAGUGCAAGCCUCCAUCUCAAAAAAUUGUAUAGGGAAGUGUGAUAAUCUUUAGAGCUGUUCACCAAAUGCUUCUCCUCAUGGUAAAUGUGUGCUUCCUGGUCCUUUUUGAAAUCAGCUAUGGCCAUGACUUGCUUUAGCCAAUACAAUUUGAACAGAAGUGGCCUGUGUCCCUUCUGGGCAGAAAUUUAAAAAUCCAGUGCAGAUUUUGCACAUUCCCUUUUCCCAUUUGCAAGCAUAGAUUUGGUGAAGCAUCCCUCUACUUAGAUGGCUGAGUGAUUAGGAUGACAGAGCCCUCUUUCCAUUCCCUCCCAUAUCUACCUGCACUGGAGGUGUGCAUAAGGGCAAAAUAUUAAUGUGUUUGUACCUCAGAGAUUUUGUGGCUGUUUGUUACUGCAGCAUAACUGAGGCCAUCCUGACUGAUAUGAGACACAAACCUGCUUGGACAAGCAGUAACCGGGAAAAGAGUGGAUUGUAAUAGGAAUAGUACUGGUUGGAGUGGGAGUCCCAGAUUUGUCAACUUAUGUGGUGAACUUGGGCAUCUCAGUUUAUUAUACUGGAAAUCAAGGAGGAAUAGAUCCCUAUUUCUCAGUCAUGCUCUGGAGACAGAGCUCUUGAAGGUCCUAGUAUUCCUAGCAGGAUUCAGGAAUUAUUGUGUUAAAUGAAAAAUAACUGUUCAUUACAUUCUGCUAAGUCUCAUUCAUCUAAAAUGAAAUAAAGACAGGAGAUAAACAUUAAAUAUGGUAGAAAACUGCUUUUUAGGAAAACUUAAAUUCAAUAAUUAUUAAUGUACUUAUUUAAUUCCCCCUCACUCAAACCACACUACCUACAAACUAGGAAGAUUUUAUGAAUUUUUGGAUUUCCUACUAGGACAUCUUGCCUAGCACCAAGACAGAAGCAUUUUGUGGGGCUGUGAUUCAAGAAUUUCCAGACUAUAUGAAUGAUUUCCUAUUUCUUUUCUGCUAUCAUGCCCCAGAAUUCUGAGUCUGUGAAUCCCAAACCUUUCCUAACGUGUUUUUGGAGCUCCCUUUUAGCGAAAAAUGCCACUUGUGGCUAGUGAGGUGAUAGAUGACUAAAAUAAUUGACUCCGAAGACUUACAAAAAAUGAUAAACAAGCUAGUUAAGAAAACAGAAAGACAGGCCAAGGUGCUUGUAGGUAGAGUGAGUGAGGAGACAGGUGUAAUGUGAACUGCAGAGUGAGCACUGGUGGUUCCAGGUCUCUCCAUUUCUCCAGAUGGGCCUACUUCUGUCUAUUACCUUGACCACCGUCUACUCUUAUCUGAUCUGUUUUCCUAAUUUCCCCAAAAGUAUCCUUGCUGCCCAGGGCCAGGACCAGGGUGAGGCAAGGUAGGCAGCUGGGGCAUCACAUUUAGGUAAGCACUCACUCUAAGGUAGAGGGAACAGCACAAGUAAAGAGCCUGGGGCAGAAGUGGCCUUGCAUGCUCAAGGAAUGGAACAGGGGCCAGUACAUUUGAUGUGUUGUGGGAAAGAUGGGAGAUGGGAACAAAGUCCAGAUUACGCAGUGCCUUGGAGACCACAGAAAGGGCUUCAGGUUUUACUCAAAGCACAGUGAAAAAAUAUUGAGGAAGCUUUUGCAGAGGAAAAACAUGGUUAGAUAAAUAUUGUAAAAAUAUUGUUCCAUCUGCUCUGUGGAACAUAGUGUGGCAGGGGCAUGAGUUGACCAAAGAAGACCAGUGAGAGGCCACAGUGAUGUUCAAGGUGAGAGAUGCUGGUAGUCUGAACCUGGGUGAAAGCAGGAAGAAGAGGACAAUUGCAAUAUGUAUUUUGAUGAAAUAAAAUUAUGUAAUUGAUUUCAUUGUUCAGACAUUGUUGAUUAUUUG